ACUUUGAUCAAUAGCUGAUUUGAGAGGAUGAUCAGCCACAUUGGGACUGAGACACGGCCCAAACUCCUACGGGAGGCAGCAGUGGGGAAUCUUGCACAAUGGAGGAAACUCUGAUGCAGCGAUGCCGCGUGAGUGAAGAAGGCCCUUGGGUUGUAAAGCUCUUUCGUCGGGGAAGAAAAUGACUGUACCCGAAUAAGAAGGUCCGGCUAACUUCGUGCCAGCAGCCGCGGUAAUACGAAGGGACCUAGCGUAGUUCGGAAUUACUGGGCUUAAAGAGUUCGUAGGUGGUUGAAAAAGUUGGUGGUGAAAUCCCAGAGCUUAACUCUGGAACUGCCAUCAAAACUUUUCAGCUAGAGUAUGAUAGAGGAAAGCAGAAUUUCUAGUGUAGAGGUGAAAUUCGUAGAUAUUAGAAAGAAUACCAAUUGCGAAGGCAGCUUUCUGGAUCAUUACUGACACUGAGGAACGAAAGCAUGGGUAGCGAAGAGGAUUAGAUACCCUCGUAGUCCAUGCCGUAAACGAUGUGUGUUAGACGUUGGAAAUUUAUUUUCAGUGUCGCAGCGAAAGCGAUAAACACACCGCCUGGGGAGUACGACCGCAAGGUUAAAACUCAAAUGAAUUGACGGGGACCCGCACAAGUAGUGGAGCAUGUGGUUUAAUUCGAAGAUACGCGCAGAACCUUACCAACACUUGACAUGUUCGUCGCGACUCUAAGAGAUUAGAGUUUUCGGUUCGGCCGGACGAAACACAGGUGCUGCAUGGCUGUCGUCAGCUCGUGUCGUGAGAUGUUGGGUUAAGUCCCGCAACGAGCGCAACCCUCACUUUUAGUUGCCAUCAUUAAGUUGGGCACUCUGAAAGAACUGCCAGUGAUAAGCUGGAGGAAGGUGGGGAUGACGUCAAGUCCUCAUGGCCCUUACGUGUUGGGCUACACACGUGCUACAAUGGUAUCUACAACAGGAAGCAAGACGGCGACGUCAAGCA
This 978-nucleotide ribosomal RNA is filed under the name marine metagenome. Its description in RNAcentral is "bacterial SSU rRNA". It matches the Rfam family "Bacterial small subunit ribosomal RNA", at positions 273 to 1269 of the family's 1533-position model. The record is from RNAcentral.